RNAcentral lists this ribosomal RNA (468 nucleotides) under uncultured bacterium. Its description in RNAcentral is "partial 16S ribosomal RNA". It matches the Rfam family "Bacterial small subunit ribosomal RNA", at positions 28 to 507 of the family's 1533-position model. The record is from RNAcentral.
GACGAACGCUGGCUGCAGGCUUAACACAUGCAAGUCGAACGGAAACGCCGUGGAUGUGUGGUGUGCUCGGGUGGCGCACGCGUACGUGACACGUAAGUAUCCUGCACUUGCCUUUGAGAUAACUUCAACCAGCUGGAGCUCAUACCGGAAAGGCGCUCCUGCUGCUUGGUGGGGGUUGGAACGUUUCGGCGGUUGGGGAUGGACUCGCGGCUGAUCAGCUUGUUGGUGGGGUAGUGGCUUACCAAGGCUUUGACGGGUAGCCGGCCUGAGAGGGUGACCGGCACCAUUGGGACUGAGAUACGGGCCGGAGUCCUAAGGGAGGCAGCAGUGGGGAAGAUUGCACAAUGGGCGGAAGCCUGAUGCAGCAACGCCGCGUGCGGGAUUAUGGCCUGCGGUUAUGAAAGCGCAUUGGCCUGGGAGUAAGCGUGAGUGCAGGUAAUGGGUAAAGAAGCACCGGCUAAUUACGUG